GCGCGAAAACUUUACAAUGCUGGCAACAGCGAUACGGGAACCUCGAGUGCCAGGUUACAAAUCUGGCUGUCGAGAUGCCUAAAAAGCAUUUCAUAGCAAGGGCCGGGCAAGACCGGUGCCAGCCGCCGCGGUAACACCGGCGGCUCGAGUGGUAACCGUUAUUAUUGGGUCUAAAGGGUCUGUAGCCGGCCGGCUAAGUCUCUUGAGAAAUCUGGCAGCUUAACUGUCAGGCUUUCAGGGGAUACUGUCUGGCUCGAGGCCGGGAGAGGUGAGGGGUACUUCAGGGGUAGGGGUGAAAUCUGGUGAUCCUUGAAGGACCACCAGUGGCGAAGGCGUCUCACCAGAACGGACCUGACGGCAAGGGACGAAAGCUAGGGGCACGAACC
RNAcentral lists this ribosomal RNA (386 nucleotides) under uncultured prokaryote. RNAcentral describes it as "bacterial SSU rRNA". It matches the Rfam family "Archaeal small subunit ribosomal RNA", at positions 339 to 725 of the family's 1478-position model. The record is from RNAcentral.